This 74-nucleotide transfer RNA is filed under the name Candidatus Nomurabacteria bacterium. RNAcentral describes it as "tRNA-Val". It matches the Rfam family "tRNA". Rfam says of the family: Transfer RNA (tRNA) molecules are approximately 80 nucleotides in length. Lineage: Bacteria; Candidatus Nomuraibacteriota. The record is from RNAcentral.
GGGCGGUUAACUCAGUGGAUAGAGUGCCUUUCUAACGAAAAUGGUUGUCGUGAGUUCAAGUCUCACACCGCCUA